GAUGAACGCUGGCGGCGUGCCUAAUACAUGCAAGUCGAGCGAACAGACGAGGAGCUUGCUCCUCUGACGUUAGCGGCGGACGGGUGAGUAACACGUGGAUAACCUACCUAUAAGACUGGGAUAACUUCGGGAAACCGGAGCUAAUACCGGAUAAUAUAUUGAACCGCAUGGUUCAAUAGUGAAAGACGGUUUUGCUGUCACUUAUAGAUGGAUCCGCGCCGCAUUAGCUAGUUGGUAAGGUAACGGCUUACCAAGGCAACGAUGCGUAGCCGACCUGAGAGAGUGAUCGGCCACACUGGAACUGAAACACGCACAAGACUCCUACGGUAGGCAGCAGUAGGGAAUCUUCCGCAAUGGUCGAAAGCCUUACGGAGCAACGCCGCGUGAGUGAUGAAGGUCUUCGGAUCGUAAAACUCUGUUAUUAGGGAAGAACAAAUGUGUAAGUAACUAUGCACGGCUUGACGGUACCUAAUCAGAAAGCCACGGCUAACUACGUG
This 497-nucleotide ribosomal RNA is filed under the name uncultured bacterium. Its description in RNAcentral is "partial 16S ribosomal RNA". It matches the Rfam family "Bacterial small subunit ribosomal RNA", at positions 28 to 507 of the family's 1533-position model. The record is from RNAcentral.